UGGGGAAUAUUGGACAAUGGGCGCAAGCCUGAUCCAGCCAUGCCGCGUGGAUGAUGAAGGCCCUAGGGUUGUAAAGUCCUUUCGGCGGGGAAGAUAAUGACGGUACCCGCAGAAGAAGCCCCGGCUAACUUCGUGCCAGCAGCCGCGGUAAUACGAAGGGGGCUAGCGUUGCUCGGAAUCACUGGGCGUAAAGCGCACGUAGGCGGCUUUUUAAGUCAGGGGUGAAAUCCUGGAGCUCAACUCCAGAACUGCCCUUGAUACUGAGAAGCUUGAGUCCGGGAGAGGUGAGUGGAACUGCGAGUGUAGAGGUGAAAUUCGUAGAUAUUCGCAAGAACACCAGUGGCGAAGGCGGCUCACUGGCCCGGUACUGACGCUGAGGUGCGAAAGCGUGGGGAGCAAACAGG
RNAcentral lists this ribosomal RNA (404 nucleotides) under uncultured Hyphomicrobiales bacterium. RNAcentral's name for it is "bacterial SSU rRNA". It matches the Rfam family "Bacterial small subunit ribosomal RNA", at positions 355 to 776 of the family's 1533-position model. The record is from RNAcentral. Lineage: Bacteria; Pseudomonadati; Pseudomonadota; Alphaproteobacteria; Hyphomicrobiales.